AUUGAACGCUGGCGGCAUGCCUUACACAUGCAAGUCGAACGGCAGCACGGGUGCUUGCACCUGGUGGCGAGUGGCGAACGGGUGAGUAAUAUAUCGGAACGUACCUUAUCGUGGGGGAUAACGCAGCGAAAGCUGCGCUAAUACCGCAUACGCCCUGAGGGGAAAGCGGGGACCGUAAGGCCUCGCGCGAUUAGAGCGGCCGAUAUCUGAUUAGCUUGUUGGUGGGGUAAAAGCCCACCAAGGCGACGAUCAGUAGCUGGUCUGAGAGGACGAUCAGCCACACUGGGACUGAGACACGGCCCAGACUCCUACGGGAGGCAGCAGUGGGGAAUUUUGGACAAUGGGGGCAACCCUGAUCCAGCAAUGCCGCGUGAGUGAAGAAGGCCUUCGGGUUGUAAAGCUCUUUUGUCAGGGAAGAAACAGCAGCUCUAACACAGUCUGCGAAUGACGGUACCUGAAGAAUAAGCACCGGCUAACUACGUG
RNAcentral lists this ribosomal RNA (483 nucleotides) under uncultured bacterium. Its description in RNAcentral is "bacterial SSU rRNA". It matches the Rfam family "Bacterial small subunit ribosomal RNA", at positions 30 to 507 of the family's 1533-position model. The record is from RNAcentral.